GCGAGCGGCGGACGGGUGAGUAACACGUGGGUAACCUGCCCAAGAGACUGGGAUAACACCUGGAAACAGAUGCUAAUACCGGAUAACAACACUAGACGCAUGUCUAGAGUUUGAAAGAUGGUUCUGCUAUCACUCUUGGAUGGACCUGCGGUGCAUUAGCUAGUUGGUAAGGUAACGGCUUACCAAGGCAAUGAUGCAUAGCCGAGUUGAGAGACUGAUCGGCCACAUUGGGACUGAGACACGGCCCAAACUCCUACGGGAGGCAGCAGUAGGGAAUCUUCCACAAUGGACGAAAGUCUGAUGGAGCAACGCCGCGUGAGUGAAGAAGGGUUUCGGCUCGUAAAGCUCUGUUGGUAGUGAAGAAAGAUAGAGGUAGUAACUGGCCUUUAUUUGACGGUAAUUACUUAGAAAGUCACGGCUAACUACGUGCCAGCAGCCGCGGUAAUACGUAGGUGGCAAGCGUUGUCCGGAUUUAUUGGGCGUAAAGCGAGUGCAGGCGGUUCAAUAAGUCUGAUGUGAAAGCCUUCGGCUCAACCGGAGAAUUGCAUCAGAAACUGUUGAACUUGAGUGCAGAAGAGGAGAGUGGAACUCCAUGUGUAGCGGUGGAAUGCGUAGAUAUAUGGAAGAACACCAGUGGCGAAGGCGGCUCUCUGGUCUGCAACUGACGCUGAGGCUCGAAAGCAUGGGUUAGCGAACAGGAUUAGAUACCCUGGUAGUCCAUG
Molecule: ribosomal RNA, 722 nt
Filed under: uncultured bacterium
Lineage: Bacteria
Description: bacterial SSU rRNA
Rfam family: Bacterial small subunit ribosomal RNA
Source: RNAcentral